UUCCCUCCUGUUGUGGACCUAAGCAAUUAC
Molecule: non-coding RNA, 30 nt
Filed under: Rattus norvegicus (Norway rat)
Lineage: Eukaryota; Metazoa; Chordata; Mammalia; Rodentia; Muridae
Source: RNAcentral